GCUGGGUGUGGUGCUGCAUGUCUGUAAUCCCAUCCUCUCAGGAGGCUGAGGCAGGAGGAUCGUGUGUUCUAAGCCAGCCUCAGCAAAAGUGAGGUGCUACACAACUCAUUGAGUCCCUGUCUCUA
RNAcentral lists this small RNA (125 nucleotides) under Marmota monax (woodchuck). The record is from RNAcentral. Lineage: Eukaryota; Metazoa; Chordata; Mammalia; Rodentia; Sciuridae.